UACGUAGGUGGCAAGCGUUGUCCGGAAUUAUUGGGCGUAAAGAGCUUGUAGGCGGUUUGUCGCGUCUGCUGUGAAAUUUCGGGGCUCAACCCCGAACUUGCAGUGGGUACGGGCAGACUAGAGUGUGGUAGGGGAGACUGGAAUUCCUGGUGUAGCGGUGAAAUGCGCAGAUAUCAGGAGGAACACCGAUGGCGAAGGCAGGUCUCUGGGCCACUACUGACGCUGAGAAGCGAAAGCAUGGGGAGCGAACAGG
This 253-nucleotide ribosomal RNA is filed under the name uncultured bacterium. RNAcentral describes it as "partial 16S ribosomal RNA". It matches the Rfam family "Bacterial small subunit ribosomal RNA", at positions 524 to 776 of the family's 1533-position model. The record is from RNAcentral.